Molecule: ribosomal RNA, 928 nt
Filed under: Oceanobacillus picturae
Lineage: Bacteria; Bacillati; Bacillota; Bacilli; Caryophanales; Bacillaceae
Description: bacterial SSU rRNA
Rfam family: Bacterial small subunit ribosomal RNA
Source: RNAcentral
UGCAGUCGAGCGCAGGAAGCAAGUUGAUCCCCUUCGGGGGUGACGCUUGUGGAAUGAGCGGCGGACGGGUGAGUAACACGUGGGCAACCUGCCUGUAAGACUGGGAUAACCCCGGGAAACCGGGGCUAAUACCGGAUAAUACUUUCUUUUGCAUAAAGGAAAGUUGAAAGGCGGCUUCGGCUGUCACUUACAGAUGGGCCCGCGGCGCAUUAGCUAGUUGGUGAGGUAACGGCUCACCAAGGCGACGAUGCGUAGCCGACCUGAGAGGGUGAUCGGCCACACUGGGACUGAGACACGGCCCAGACUCCUACGGGAGGCAGCAGUAGGGAAUCUUCCGCAAUGGACGAAAGUCUGACGGAGCAACGCCGCGUGAGUGAUGAAGGUUUUCGGAUCGUAAAACUCUGUUGUUAGGGAAGAACAAGUACGAUAGUAACUGAUCGUACCUUGACGGUACCUAACCAGAAAGCCACGGCUAACUACGUGCCAGCAGCCGCGGUAAUACGUAGGUGGCAAGCGUUGUCCGGAAUUAUUGGGCGUAAAGCGCUCGCAGGCGGUCCUUUAAGUCUGAUGUGAAAUCUCGCGGCUCAACCGCGAACGGUCAUUGGAAACUGGAGGACUUGAGUACAGAAGAGGAGAGUGGAAUUCCACGUGUAGCGGUGAAAUGCGUAGAGAUGUGGAGGAACACCAGUGGCGAAGGCGACUCUCUGGUCUGUAACUGACGCUGAGGAGCGAAAGCGUGGGGAGCGAACAGGAUUAGAUACCCUGGUAGUCCACGCCGUAAACGAUGAGUGCUAGGUGUUAGGGGGUUUCCGCCCCUUAGUGCUGAAGUUAACGCAUUAAGCACUCCGCCUGGGGAGUACGGCCGCAAGGCUGAACUCAAAAGAAUUGACGGGGCCCGCACAAGCGGUGGAGCAUGUGGUUUAAUUCG